Oncorhynchus tshawytscha (Chinook salmon) is the source of this 543-nucleotide long non-coding RNA. Lineage: Eukaryota; Metazoa; Chordata; Actinopteri; Salmoniformes; Salmonidae. The record is from Ensembl.
AAUGCUGUUAGUUUGAACACAGAGCAACAUUAACUCUUGUGUUGGGCGUGGUUGGUUUGUGUUGGGUGUGGUUGGUUUGUGUUGGGCGUGGUUGGUUUGUGUCGGGCGAGUUUGGUUUGUGUUGGGCGUGGUUGGUUUGUGUUGGGCGUGGUUGGUUUGUGUUGGGUGUGUUUGGUUUGUGUUGGGCGUGGUUGUUUUGUGUUGGGCGUGGUUGGUUUGUGUUGGGCGUGGUUGGUUUGCGUUGGGCGUGGUUGGUUUGAGUUUGGUUUGGUUGGUUUGCGUUGGUCGUGUUUGGUUUGUGUUGGGCGUGGUUGUUUUGUGUUGGGCGUGGUUGGUUUGUGUUGGGCGUGGUUGUUUUGUGUUGGGCGUGAUUGGUUUGUGUUGGGCGUGGUUGGCUUGUGUUGGGCGUGGUUGGUUUGUGUUCGGUGUGGUUGGUUUGUGUUAGGCGUAGUUGGUUUGUGUUGGGCGUGGUUGGUUUGUGUUGGGUGUGGUUGGUUUGUGUUGGGAUUGGUUGGUUUGUGUUGGGCGGGGUUGGUUUGUGUU